UGGGGCGCUGCCACGGCCGGCGGAGAGGCGCCGCCGCAGCCCGCGCGGUGACUACACCGCCGCCGAAGACCGAGCGCCCCGCCCCGCCCUCUCUCCCGACCCACCUCUCAGCAGGAUGGGGCGCCGCACGGCCGGUGGACAGCCACCGCUGGGCCCGCCCCACCCGCGCGCGGCUGCUCCCGCGUUGGCGCGUGGCUCUCCCCUCGCCAGAAUCCAAGUCACUGAAUCUGAAUCCAUUACGAACCCUACCUUUUGAUUCCCCAUAUCCCUUCCUCCUCCCGUUUCCCCGUCGCAAACUCCUGCGUGCACAUCUGUGCAGAGGCGGCCAUGGAUUCGGUGACCUAGGUCUAGGAACACCCAUUGCAGGAAGUGAGCUUGUUGAAUUACAUCAGCAGGAUCUCAGGCCUUCUUGGAUUUCAGCAACAGCAUCUCAGGGUGAGUUUGUCCCUCCUUUUUUCCUUGUCAUGUGUUAUUGGGCAUCUGAUGAGAUAACUAAUUUCAUUCAAGUUCUUGCUUUAGUAUCCAAUAAGUAGGGAUUGUACUGCUCAUUUAGUCUCAUUGGGUAACCAGGUUGGUCAAUAUACGCAACUUAAAAAUAUCAAGCUCAUGAAAAAUAAUGUCAAGUCUCAUGAAAUUAACUUGAUUGGUAGAUAAAAUCUGUGAUUAUAUCGCAUUGAAUCAGAGGUACUUUCUUAUGCAUUGAAGCUAACAAUAGUUUCAAAGAUGAAAGAGUAGAUAUUGUCCCAAAGAUAUGUCAAAAUAGCCCAUAGGUUGUUGCUUAAGAAUAUAGUAAUGUACUCCUGGUUGGGUCAACAUGUCCUCUUUUCUUAUCAUGGCUAUCUCAGCUAACUCACUGUGAGAAACUAAGAAAGAACUUUUCUUUCUUGUUCCCUCUGAAGAGGUUUGAUCCAUGUGAUGUUUUUCAGUAAAUGCAUAUCAUUUACUUUUCAGAGCUGGGUAGCUGACUGGUGAAUAGCAAGAGAAAAUGUUAACUUAUCUGAAUUUUGCCAUGCUAGGUAACUUCUGCAAAGUGCUAACCAUGAUUGCUUUUGCCAAGUGCUAAUUUAGGUAGAGGGAAUGAUCAUUGGUCAAUGGUUUUUGAUUUUGCUUAUGUCAUAGUACUUGCAAGUUUACCACGCUUAAAUUUUUCAAUUGUUCAAUCUAUCACAGUAGAAAAUUACUGAAUUGCAGCUAGCUGCUAUUCAUGAUUGAAAUACACUAGCUUGAAAUAAACCAGCAUGCAUGUGCACUAUUUGUUGUGCCUCUUGGCGCCAGUAGUGGUGGAGCACCCAUUGGCUGUGUUGGAGACUCUUGAUGGACUUAAAUUUAGAUGGUUGCUUGCUGAUUUACACCAUAAUUUCCCUUAAUGUUGAAAAUAUAAUGGGAUCCAUGGACAGUGUGGAACCUUUAAAUUUCUGAAUCGCAGGAAGUGCCAUCAAAUGGCUCCAUGAAGUUUCAUCUGUUUGGAUAUAGGUUAGAGUCAAUAGGUUGAAUUUCUAAUUCAAAUUUAUUCUGCAAAACAAGGUUUUGCAUUCAUGAUAAGCAGAUAGAGCAAGCCUAUGAGGACUUGCUGAAUUCGUCAAAGCAGACUUUGGCUAGCAUGACGGAACUACCGGAGGCUUUGCUGGAGAGUAACCAGCCUGUAAAGGAUGCCGAUGAAUGACGAGUGGUAUGCCUCCAAUGGACAGAAUGACGAGUGGUCAGAAGUACAGAGAUUGCAGACAAGGAACCCAACGCCCAGAGGUCCAAAAAUUCCCCACCCAUGUGCCAGCCGGACAGGAACCCACGAAUUGCUCUAGAAAACCUAUAUCCUCUCCCCUCACCCCCUACUCUCCCCAUCACAGCGGUUCCUGCGCAGCCAGCGCAGGCAAGAGCGCCCGCUUCCUCUUCUCCCAACCCACGCUUCCCCUGCUGCCGCCGCUGUAGUUGAUCCCAAAUCCGCCACCCAUCAUUGGCCCCUUCUGCUUGCUGCUGCGGCGUAGUUCUCUUUCCAUGGCCACCGUCCCGCAACAUCCGCACCCCUUUUGUGCAGAUCCAAGCUCAAGCAGGCAACCCCUCAUUGGAUUUCGGCGCCACUCGUAUGGAUCGAGCAGAUGCAGAUCUCUCCAAGAGGCCAACGAUCCCUGGUUCAAUUUUGGCCAUGGUCAUAAAGCAGAUCCUUCCUGUCCGGCCCCUCUUAUCUUGUGGUUAUUGCAAUCGUGAAAUCAAGUGGCAUCCUUCAACGCCCUCUUCUUCUGUAAGGGUCUGUGCAAGGAGUCCCUUGAAUUUCCUUUGAUUCAUGGAUACAUGGAAUUCGCUAGGUAAAAAGGAACUACUGAUUUGAAGUCGUCCUGUUUGCAUUUGCUGCUGCUGCUGCUAGCUAGCUAGCUACUAAAUUAUCUAAAACACUGCAUACUAUGUGAUUUAGGGAAAAGGCUGCCUAGGGAAAGGUACCUUGCUGAAAUCUGGAAGGUCUUGUCCCUGACUUAUCUGAAGGCGUGCGUGUGAACUGGGGUUAACCAGUUCCGUUCCUUGGAGGUUAAGCAGAUGCACCGAUGCAGCACCACAAGUCUGUGAAAUCUGGUUCAGGCAACUUUUGGAUUUUCUUAUGUUGCACAGCCUUUGUUCAAAAAGAAUAGUGUAACUGUUCACUGGGACAGAUUUCUACUUGUACAUACUUCAUUUAUGUGCUUUAGUUGACUACAAUUACUCCGAAAUCCCAUGAAGAGUUUUUGCCACC
This is a long non-coding RNA of Panicum virgatum (switchgrass), 2719 nucleotides long. RefSeq lists it as uncharacterized. The transcript is spliced from 10 exons. Lineage: Eukaryota; Viridiplantae; Streptophyta; Magnoliopsida; Poales; Poaceae. The record is from RefSeq and is a predicted model, not a curated record.